This 66-nucleotide transfer RNA is filed under the name Amblyomma marmoreum. RNAcentral's name for it is "tRNA-Lys". Lineage: Eukaryota; Metazoa; Arthropoda; Arachnida; Ixodida; Ixodidae. The record is from RNAcentral.
CAUUGAAUGGCUGAAAUUAAAGCAAUGGUCUCUUAAACCAACCUAUAGUACUUUUACUUUCAAUGG